CCUUAGAGUUUGAUCCUGGCUCAGGAUGAACGCUAGCUACAGGCUUAACACAUGCAAGUCGAGGGGAAACGAUAUUGGAAGCUUGCUUCCGAUAGGCGUCGACCGGCGCACGGGUGAGUAACGCAUAUCCAACCUGCCCAUCACUUGGGGAUAACCUUGCGAAAGUAAGACUAAUGCCCAAUGACAUUGAGUGCGGACAUCUAAUCUCAAUUAAAGAUUUAUCGGUGAUGGAUGGGGAUGCGUCCGAUUAGCUUGUUGGCGGGGUAACGGCCCACCAAGGCAACGAUCGGUAGGGGUUCUGAGAGGAAGGUCCCCCACAUUGGAACUGAGACACGGUCCAAACUCCUACGGGAGGCAGCAGUGAGGAAUAUUGGUCAAUGGGCGAGAGCCUGAACCAGCCAAGUAGCGUGCAGGAUGACGGCCCUAUGGGUUGUAAACUGCUUUUAUAAGGGAAUAAAGUGAGUCUCGUGAGACUUUUUGCAUGUACCUUAUGAAUAAGGACCGGCUAAUUCCGUGCCAGCAGCCGCGGUAAUACGGAAGGUCCGGGCGUUAUCCGGAUUUAUUGGGUUUAAAGGGAGCGUAGGCCGGAGAUUAAGCGUGUUGUGAAAUGUAGACGCUCAACGUCUGCACUGCAGCGCGAACUGGUUUCCUUGAGUACGCACAAAGUGGGCGGAAUUCGUGGUGUAGCGGUGAAAUGCUUAGAUAUCACGAAGAACUCCGAUUGCGAAGGCAGCUCACUGGAGCGCAACUGACGCUGAAGCUCGAAAGUGCGGGUAUCGAACAGGAUUAGAUACCCUGGUAGUCCGCACGGUAAACGAUGGAUGCCCGCUGUUGGUCUGAAUAGGUCAGCGGCCAAGCGAAAGCAUUAAGCAUCCCACCUGGGGAGUACGCCGGCAACGGUGAAA
RNAcentral lists this ribosomal RNA (905 nucleotides) under uncultured bacterium. Its description in RNAcentral is "bacterial SSU rRNA". It matches the Rfam family "Bacterial small subunit ribosomal RNA", at positions 1 to 899 of the family's 1533-position model. The record is from RNAcentral.